AUCCAACAACUAUUUAUUGAGAACAUAUC
RNAcentral lists this non-coding RNA (29 nucleotides) under Mus musculus (house mouse). Lineage: Eukaryota; Metazoa; Chordata; Mammalia; Rodentia; Muridae. RNAcentral also lists the same sequence under 1 other name. The record is from RNAcentral.